This 2400-nucleotide long non-coding RNA is filed under the name Equus asinus (donkey). RNAcentral's name for it is "lncRNA (ENSEASG00005038572.1)". The stretch from base 873 to 945 matches the Rfam family "tRNA". Lineage: Eukaryota; Metazoa; Chordata; Mammalia; Perissodactyla; Equidae. The record is from RNAcentral.
GACCAACCAAGGCAGAGACGCUUCAGGACCGUAUGGAGAGCCUAGGAGCUGCGAUCAAGGCUGCAGAGGGAGCCUCCUUCAGCCUUCACCUGAGCGGAGGAGAGAACCCUUCGCUGGUGACUCCGAAACUCAGCGCCUCUUCCAGACAUUGGGGAAAUGAACGUUUAGGAGAGUGGAGUGAAAUCUCCCGCGAGCGCGUACGCCUGAGGCCGUGAAUCCCAUCCGAGUUGAAAUCUCCGUGGCACCUUUACACGUAAUGAAUAUGGUCUCUUACUGAGGCCACACAAAAUUUCAGUAUAUAAAAACAAGCUCCUGGCCCAAAUGAGUAGUGAAUUGGACUUAUUUUCCCAGUGGAGUCCUUCACCCUCAACCCCACUCCCACCCCCUGCUGGACCCGCAUCCCCACUCCCACUUCCUGGUCCUCAUGGUUUAGGGGAGAAAACGGUUUCGGGUCAAGAAGAAGGAAAUAGGGGCUGCAGCCCCAAGGUCCCGGCAGCACACGUCCCCGCACCCCUCCUUCUCCCCGGGGCUGUUUGCGGCUCUCAUCCCGGUACCCUCGCCCUCUUUCGCCUCCUUCUCAGGACUCCGGAUCCCGGAAACCGGGUUCUCAAAGUGACGCAGUCCAAAAGGAAUUUUUGGAAACAUCGAGAUUUCAGCACUUGUUAUUUCUGCGUCCUGGGCAAGCCCGCCUGGCCCGGCUCAGUACCCAUUAUUCUCCUGAAGCCUCGGGCUCCUCCGUGGUAGAAAGUUACUACUGCAUCAACAAAAUCCUAGACUCGGAGAUAUUUUUGACGCCAACUGAUGUGUGACUGGAUCGUACACCCUUGCUUUGAAAGAAAUUAUACCUAUCUUGGAAACAAAACGCUUUCAGGGCCCGGCUAGCUCAGUCGGUAGAGCAUGAGACUCUUAAUCUCAGGGUCGUGGGUUCGAGCCCCACGUUGGGCGCUUUGGGUUUUUUUUUUUUCUCUCUUUGAAGUCUGUCAGCUACCAAUAGAAUCAACAGCUUUUAAAUAGCCAUUGUGGCCACUGUUGUUUUAAAACUUUGGUAAAUGAUUCCAAGAAUCGCCUCUACGCGCCCCAAAUUCAGCACAAAUAAGGAAUCUGGACCAGGGAUUCCAGCGCGUCAGGUUGUUGAGGCCAGGGGUCCCUGACGCCCCGCCGCCUGGGUCUGGACUCCUUCCGGAACCGAGUCCGGGAGCCGGGGGCUCCGCCUCCGUCCUGACCCGACUCUGCUCCACGGAGAAGACGCCUGAGGACGUGACCUGACGGAAAUAUCUUCGUUCUCUUCUCGUAGGUCGUCCGCCUCCCCUCCCUAAGGAUCGUUUACCAGUCCUACCUUUUUUUUUUUUUAAGUUUGUAAAUAUGCUUUAGUCUCCCUUGUAUAUCCAGCCAACCAUCUCCAAGAUGAUCAUUACACUAGCCAAUUAUUCUCAAAGUGUGGUGCGAAGACCAACAUCAUCAGCAUCACCUGGAAACUUUGGAGAAAUGCAAAUUCUCAAGCCCCACCUCGGAACUGCUGAAUCAGAAACUCUCGGAGUAGGCCGACAAUCCCUGACUUAAGCUCUCCGGUGAUUUGGAUAAAUGCUCAAGUUCGACAACCACUGCUUUAGGGUAGCCAGGAUACACCUAUCAACCAAGAUAUACUAUGUUUUUGGGUAGGAAACUAAACGUCAUAACGACGGUACCUCUCCUUAACUUGGUGUCCGUAUUUAACAUGGUUUUCAUAAAAAUAUUUAAAAGGCUUUUUCUUUUUUAUUCAAACUGGACAGUUUAAAUGGAAAAAUAACAAGCAGUAAUAUUCAGAGAAAUAGUUUUUCAAAAAGAGUAAUAAGGAUUAACUCUAUGUGGUUUAUUAACCCUAUGGCAUAUUUUAAAUGCCAUAAAUUAUAAUAAUUAAAACAGUAAAAUAUCAUGUAUGAAUAGUCAGCAAUCAAUGGGACAGGAUAGAGUUCAGAUAUAGACCAAAAUACAUAAAUAAAUGUAAUAUAUUAGAAAGAGGGACUCAAAUCAAUAAUUCUAAUGAACAGUUUUUGAAUAACUAGGUUACUGCUUGGGAAAAAAUAAUGGUCAAUGAAUAUCAUACCCUUUAUAUAAGGGUUCAUUCCAAAUUAACAAAGACUUAAAUAAUAAUAAAAAGGAAUAUAAAAGUUUUUGUAGAAUCAUGAAAUAAUUAUUUUAUUAUCUUAGUGUGUGUACCAAAAUGAUUGUUCUAACUAUGAUGCAAACUCAGAAGUCCUGAAAGAAAUUUUAUUAUUAUUAUUUUUGCUGAGGAAAAUUAGCCCUAAGCUAACAUCUGUGCCAAUCUUCCUCCAUUUUAUAUGUGGGUUACUGCCACAGCAUGGCUGAGAAGUAGUGUAAGUCCCCACCCGGGAUUCAAACCGGCAAACCUGGGCCACCGAA